RNAcentral lists this long non-coding RNA (489 nucleotides) under Mytilus galloprovincialis (Mediterranean mussel). Lineage: Eukaryota; Metazoa; Mollusca; Bivalvia; Mytilida; Mytilidae. The record is from RNAcentral.
AUUUAUCUUUUUGUCACAUAUUUAACCUUAUAAAAUUCAAACGAAAAAAUAGGAUUCACAAUUGAAUACAAACUAUGCAGUGCCGCUGCUCAAACCGUUUUAUAAACGGCAAGGUGGCUUAUAGUUCAAACAAUUAUGUCGUCUUGAACUUCUUGUGACUCCUUCUAACGACGUCAUUACGUACGCUGAGCCAAAUUUUCCCCGAUUUCCUUAAGAUCCUUCACUAUAACAAACCAAAUUCCAUAAAUUGUGAUGUCCCAGAAUGUCCAGACAUUCAAUUUAUAGUAUCAAGAAAUACAGGUUCGCCAAAUUUAUUGAUUUUUUUUUUAAACUCUCUGCAAGUGAGGGAUAUGAUUGUGUCACGGUAGUAUUUCCUGGCAUAUAAGGGAUAAUGAUAGCCUUUUCACAAUCUGCACCUCUUUCUAACACUGCCAAAAAUCUACACACAAAGUUGUUUAAAGUACUUUGUAAUAAUAUUCAUUAUAAUUU